CAGAUAAUAAAUAACAGAAUGAACGGUGGAAUGACAAGUACUCGAGAGUCGAGACGAUGAUGUUGUUCUGGAACCGCUCCAGGCCUUCUUGCCGGAAACGUCACCGGGAGCCGCCGCCGGUGCAGUGCGGCCAUAGAAAAAAAUCCAGUCAUCUUUACUUCCAGUCUUGGAUCGCCGACAUGGUCGCCUCUCCACGCUCUACCUCCACACACACACAACACACAGGUACACUACACAGACGCUAUGUACAUCUAGACACCUCAUGCAUGGUCUGGUCGCAUACCAUGUCUCCUUUGAUCCUUUUGUGUUUUACUGGCCAUCCCUUCUACCUCCCCACUGGCAUGCCAUCAUCUGAAACCCCACAACAAAUCAACCUUUCCCUGCCUCCCCUCCCUCCAACAGCCAUCCGGGAAUAUUCACACAUGGAGGAAAAUAUGUACAAGGAUCAUCUUAGUACAAAUCUAGAAAAAUAUUUUUUUUUUUUUGUUUUUCC
RNAcentral lists this unclassified non-coding RNA (493 nucleotides) under Zea mays. RNAcentral's name for it is "misc RNA Zm00001eb350130". The record is from RNAcentral. Lineage: Eukaryota; Viridiplantae; Streptophyta; Magnoliopsida; Poales; Poaceae.